Molecule: ribosomal RNA, 846 nt
Filed under: Aureobasidium pullulans
Lineage: Eukaryota; Fungi; Ascomycota; Dothideomycetes; Dothideales; Saccotheciaceae
Description: partial large subunit ribosomal RNA
Rfam family: Eukaryotic large subunit ribosomal RNA
Source: RNAcentral
AUUGCCCUAGUAACGGCGAGUGAAGCGGCAACAGCUCAAAUUUGAAAGCUAGCCUUCGGGUUCGCAUUGUAAUUUGUAGAGGAUGAUUUGGGGAAGCCGCCUGUCUAAGUUCCUUGGAACAGGACGUCAUAGAGGGUGAGAAUCCCGUAUGUGACAGGAAAUGGCACCCUAUGUAAAUCUCCUUCGACGAGUCGAGUUGUUUGGGAAUGCAGCUCUAAAUGGGAGGUAAAUUUCUUCUAAAGCUAAAUAUUGGCGAGAGACCGAUAGCGCACAAGUAGAGUGAUCGAAAGAUGAAAAGCACUUUGGAAAGAGAGUUAAAAAGCACGUGAAAUUGUUGAAAGGGAAGCGCUUGCAAUCAGACUUGUUUAAACUGUUCGGCCGGUCUUCUGACCGGUUUACUCAGUUUGGACAGGCCAGCAUCAGUUUCGGCGGCCGGAUAAAGGCUCUGGGAAUGUGGCCUCCACUUCGGUGGAGGUGUUAUAGCCCAGGGUGUAAUACGGCCAGCCGGGACUGAGGUCCGCGCUUCGGCUAGGAUGCUGGCGUAAUGGUUGUAAGCGACCCGUCUUGAAACACGGACCAAGGAGUCUAACAUCUAUGCGAGUGUUCGGGUGUCAAACCCCUGCGCGUAAUGAAAGUGAACGGAGGUGGGAACCCGCAAGGGUGCACCAUCGACCGAUCCUGAUGUCUUCGGAUGGAUUUGAGUAAGAGCAUAGCUGUUGGGACCCGAAAGAUGGUGAACUAUGCCUGAAUAGGGUGAAGCCAGAGGAAACUCUGGUGGAGGCUCGCAGCGGUUCUGACGUGCAAAUCGAUCGUCAAAUUUGGGUAUAGGGGCGAAAGACUAAUCGA